RNAcentral lists this ribosomal RNA (468 nucleotides) under Metschnikowia australis. RNAcentral's name for it is "LSU rRNA". It matches the Rfam family "Eukaryotic large subunit ribosomal RNA", at positions 51 to 560 of the family's 3401-position model. The record is from RNAcentral. Lineage: Eukaryota; Fungi; Ascomycota; Pichiomycetes; Serinales; Metschnikowiaceae.
CGGAGGAAAAGAAACCAACAGGGAUUGCCUCAGUAACGGCGAGUGAAGCGGCAAAAGCUCAAAUUUGAAAUCCCCCGGGAAUUGUAAUUUGAAGGUGGCCUCAGUUAGUCCAAACAUUCUUAAGUCCAUUGGAAAAUGGCGCCAUGGAGGGUGAUAGCCCCGUAAAGAUGUCGUUUGUUCUAUUUUCUCUGGCCACCAAAGAGUCGAGUUGUUUGGGAAUGCAGCUCUAAGUGGGUGGUAAAUUCCAUCUAAAGCUAAAUAUUGGCGAGAGACCGAUAGCGAACAAGUACAGUGAUGGAAAGAUGAAAAGCACUUUGAAAAGAGAGUGAAAAAGUACGUGAAAUUGUUGAAAGGGAAGGGCUUGCAAGCAGACACAACCUCGUGUUGGGCCAGCAUCGGGGCGAGAGGAAGUAAAAACGAUUUGGAAAUGUAACUUUCGAGUAUUAUAGACCUUAUCCCUCCCUUCCA